CACGUAGGGCGCAAGCGUUGUCCGGAAUUAUUGGGCGUAAAGAGCUCGUAGGCGGUCUGUUGCGUCUGCUGUGAAAACCCGGGGCUUAACCCCUGGCUUGCAGUGGAUACGGACAGACUAGAGGUAGGUAGGGGAGAAUGGAAUUCCCGGUGUAGCGGUGAAAUGCGCAGAUAUCGGGAGGAACACCGGUGGCGAAGGCGGGUCUCUGGGCAGUAACUGACGCUGAGGAGCGAAAGCGUGGGUAGCGAACAGG
RNAcentral lists this ribosomal RNA (253 nucleotides) under uncultured bacterium. Its description in RNAcentral is "partial 16S ribosomal RNA". It matches the Rfam family "Bacterial small subunit ribosomal RNA", at positions 524 to 776 of the family's 1533-position model. The record is from RNAcentral.